AGCAACCUGAUGAAAAUGACAGAUACUUCUUGCUUCCUACUAAUGUCUCGGUGACAAAAUGAUGAUGAGUCCUGAAAAUCAGCCACUAAUCAAGAAAGUGUGUUUGCUGAUACAAUAUUUUGGAUCAUCUUGGCUGAUUUUGAGCUGGCAAAAGAAUGGAGAAGGAGUUUUGACAUGUGAAUAAUCUUAAAUACUAUAUGAAUGGACAUAGAGAGGAUUGUUGGAGGAGGUCAUCAAGAAGACAUGACUGGUUGACAUGCGAGAUGGACCUGGGCAAUCAGAGGCUCCUCACCCCUUCCCUCCCCUUGGAAUGUAAGUUCUGCCUGUGGUUCCCACAGUGGGAGUUGUUUUCAAGGAUGCAGCCUUGAGAGAGCAACGUGAUGUUGAAACCAUCUGGACUGAAUAUGUGACUGAGCCCACUUAAGGCCUCUAUAUAAAGUUUUAAGAUUCUGGCAGGUGAGUGUGGAGAUCGACUCAUCUUGUGGCCGCCCAAGACAAGCCUGGUAAGUAAGUUUCCUUGCUUAUGAAACCUGCCACCUACCAGUCAGGAGUGGUCUGCCUCUUCCUUUGGUUUCUCUUUGCCCUCCAUGUACGAGGGCCAGUUUGUGAACCAUCAAGGAUAACUACCAAUAAUUUGUGCAUCAGUGGGUCUGCCAUGAGGAGAGGUUUUCCUCUGCUGAUCAAAAUACAUAUGUAGAAUAAAGCCUGUGUUAACGGGACAGAGUACUUAAAUCCUUUGCUCUGACUCUCUCUGACUGUGAUUCUAUCAGUUUACAUGAUAAGAAGUUGCUGUAGCAGUUUGCCAGCUUUUUCUAACGUACAACAUAUAUUUUAUCUUUCCAGCUGAUGUAUGUAAUAGAAGACAGAGGCUAUGUAUUACUUUUUGUACUCUUAGAGUAUCCUCAGAAGCAUUCAAUAAAUAGGGCUGACUAUAUUUACAUUUUAAAAUUUGCCUAUUAAAAUAUCUUAUUAAUUUCUGUUGGUAAAAAUCUUAUUAAUAUCUCUUAGGAAAUUACAUGAUCUGAACCUAUCUGGUAAGUAAAACUAUGACUAUUAAGGAGAGCAUGCUAUCGAAGUCAUGCCCUGCAGUACUCUCACCUAGUAUUAAUACUGCUAGUGAAUAUAUCCUAUACUGACUGAACGUAAUUCUAAACAAAACUGUGUAAUCUCAAUAAAAGAGAAAUCCUCCUUUUCUGAGAAAAACCUGACUGUGGAAGUAUAUCUGGGCUGUGCGAACACUAGUAAUACCAAGUAUUAGACAUGCUGUUAAACCAUGUGUGUUUAUAUCGUUUACGUUUUUGUAACAUUUUUCAUGGUUCCAAAUAGUCUUUAAAUUGGUAUUUUUGUGUUUUAAGUAUGUUAAAAUUAGUUUGAUUUCUACCUGCAAUAUCUAGGGACCUUCAGGGAUUUAUCUCUACCUCCUUAUUCUUCAGUAUUUCUGGAAUCUAAAUAAUAUACAGAAGUCAAAAAACAAUCUUGCAGUAUUUUUAUGCUGUUUAUUAUGUAUAUGAUACAUAUAUAAUACAUAUUAACUUCUCUAUAAAUAAUUUAUAUUGAUAAGCUAUAGUUCAAAUAUUGAAAAGUCUUCCCUAAAAAGAAUGACUCCUCUUGGGACGUGUACAAAAUAUUUCAUCAAUAAUUUUCUUUAUGUUUAGUGCUUUUUGUGAGCUCUGCAACCUGAGUCGGUUAUACAAAGAACAGCAACUUCUUGAAUAUAGAAGAUUCUGCAACUCCAGAUUGAGGAAUAUCAAAGAAAAGGGGGGAUUGAAACUGUAUACAAGAGGAGACCUUCAAGACGGCAGAGGAGUAAGACGUGGUGAUCACCUUCCUCCCCACAAAUACAUCAGAAACACAUCUACAUGUGGAACAACUCCUACAGAACACCUACUGAAUGCUGGCAGAAGACCUCAGACUUCCCAAAAGGCAAGAAACUCCCCACAUACCUGGGUAGGGCAAAAGAAAAAACACAGACAAAAGAAUAGGGACGGGACCUGCACCACUGGCAGGGAGCUGUAAAGGAGGAAAAGUUUCCACGUACUAGGAAGCCCCUACACUGGUGUAGAUGGCGGGUGGUGGCGGGGAAGCUUCGGAGCCACGGAGGAGAGCACAGCAACAGGGGUGCAGAGGG
Orcinus orca (killer whale) is the source of this 2128-nucleotide long non-coding RNA. RefSeq lists it as uncharacterized. NCBI's taxonomy places the organism in Eukaryota, Metazoa, Chordata, Mammalia, Artiodactyla, Delphinidae. The record is from RefSeq and is a predicted model, not a curated record. The transcript is spliced from 4 exons.